UAGGGAAUCUUCGGCAAUGGGGGCAACCCUGACCGAGCAACGCCGCGUGAGUGAAGAAGGUUUUCGGAUCGUAAAGCUCUGUUGUAAGAGAAGAACGAGUGUGAGAGUGGAAAGUUCACACUGUGACGGCAACUUACCAGAAAGGGACGGCUAACUACGUGCCAGCAGCCGCGGUAAUACGUAGGUCCCGAGCGUUAUCCGGAUUUAUUGGGCGUAAAGCGAGCGCAGGCGGUUAGAUAAGUCUGAAGUUAAAGGCUGUGGCUUAACCAUAGUACGCUUUGGAAACUGUUUAACUUGAGUGCAGAAGGGGAGAGUGGAAUUCCAUGUGUAGCGGUGAAAUGCGUAGAUAUAUGGAGGAACACCGGUGGCGAAAGCGGCUCUCUGGUCUGUAACUGACGCUGAGGCUCGAAAGCGUGGGGAGCAAACAGGAUUAGAUACCCUGGUAGUCCACGCCGUNNCGAUGAGUGCUAGGUGUUGGGUCCUUUCCGGGACUCAGUGCCGCAGCUAACGCAUUAAGCACUCCGCCUGGGGAGUACNACCGCAAGGNU
This 548-nucleotide ribosomal RNA is filed under the name uncultured bacterium. Its description in RNAcentral is "bacterial SSU rRNA". It matches the Rfam family "Bacterial small subunit ribosomal RNA", at positions 355 to 895 of the family's 1533-position model. The record is from RNAcentral.